This 12898-nucleotide long non-coding RNA is filed under the name Marmota monax (woodchuck). The record is from RNAcentral. Lineage: Eukaryota; Metazoa; Chordata; Mammalia; Rodentia; Sciuridae.
GAGAACACUGUGGCUUUCAAAGUGCAAGGAACUGCAGUGUCCAAAAUGUAAGUGACUAGGCUAAUCCCCAUAGCGUUGGGUCUGGGAUUUGCAUCGCACACCCAGGGAACCACUCAAUAUUUGUGGUGCAGGCUUUGAAGGCCAUAUGCACAGAAAGAGAGAAUUGGAUGUCCUUUAGGCCACCGAGGGACAGGAUGUUUUGGUGCCUGGGUCAAUGCAGGCAUGCUGCCAAUCACACCACCAUGGGAGAGGCAAUUCUCAACUUAGCGCCAAAGCCAUGGCACGGGGACAAAUGUAGAAAAACCACACAGCCUGGCUCAGUUCUCUCUGCCCCCACCUGUCAACAAAUAAGGAUGGAGGAUUCAGGGAAACCCACAUUGGUUUAUUGGCAGUUUGAAGCUUGCUCACCAGGCUUGCCCUGCCAAGGCAAAACCCAGAUGCCAAAAUCAUCUCUCCUUCCUCCUUUUGACAAAAAUCUCUUUGUUGUCACCUAACCAUUUUGCUGUAAAGAGCUAAUAAAAUAAUUUAUACUAAUGAAGUAAUGACUUAGGUAGUAAGUAGCUCUUAAGAUGGCAUCCUUUGAUCCCUGCCUCCUGUACCCACAGCCUUGGAUAGCCCUGCCCCCUGAGUAACUUCCUUCUAGGCAACAGAGUAUCUCAAUAUCAAGGAGGUGUCACUUCUGUGAUUAGAUUAUGAAAGAUUACUAUGAUGUCUGUCUUGCCAGCAGACUCACUCCAUAUUGCUUUCUGAGCUUGCACACUUUUGGUGGCUCGAGUGUGCCAGUUGGAGAGGCCCACCUGAGGAGGAGCUGAGGUCAGUAUAGGUGUAACAGCUGCAGGAAGCAGAAGUUGGCAGUUCAAUCAACCUCAAGGAACUAAAUCUAAGUAAUCAUCAUGUGACUUUGGAAGCAUAUUUUCCCCAGAUGAGCCUUCAGAUAAGAGCACAGCCCAGAGUGACAACUUGAUUGCAGCCUUCCAAGACCUUGAAACAGGGUGUGCUUAGACUAGCUAACGUGAGCCUGGGUUCCUGGUUCACAAGAACUGUGAGAUAAAGUAUGUUGUUUUAAGUCAUUCAUUUUGCAGUAAUUUAUUGUGUAACAAUAAUAACUUGUACAACUGAUAAAGAUUUAGCGAGCUUUCUUUUCUGGGGAAUGGUCCAUGAUAACAGGCUAUUACACCUUAACCAGACAAAUGCAUUUCUUAUAUGGGUCACAGUGGUGGGCCGGUUGGGCAAUACUGUAUGUACAUGGAAUAUCGAUAGGGACAGGUUUCUAGAGCUUGAUUUUGAGGAUUGCCAAAAAAGUACAACUUCCUUCGAUUGUGUAGGUCUUUGUUUCUUGGUUGUGUCCCUCUGAUGGUCUGAUUGCUGUCACCAUGGUACUCUCAUCCUGUUUUGCAGAGGCAGGACAAAUCUCCAUUCCUGGGUUUUCCUGCUGACAGCUACUUGAAUGGCUUCCUAUCCAUUUGUUUGGCAAUUACCAAUCUGUGACCUCCCUCUUUUCCUUAAAAAUUAACGUUCCUUCAAAAUGGGAAGGUACAUUCUGGCGAACUAUAUAUCAAAGCAUUUAAGAACCUUGUCUUUGGAGCCUCACUUUGAUUGUGCCCCUCCCCUUUCUACUCAUGUGAGAUAAGCUCUCAUUAUCUCAGUUUCCUCAUUGCAAAAAGGUUAGGAUCAUGCCAAUCUCCAUAUGGUUAUUAUAAAGAUUAAUUGUAAAUCCCUUAGAACUCUGUAUUGAGUACUUGGUAAACAGCUAACUAAUGAGUGAGCAUUCAAUAAGUGUUAGGUUAUUAUUAUGGCUUUAACCGAUUCUCUCCUAAAACGCUUGAUUGUCCCUGAAUCUCUGACAGUAGAAUAUAAAUUCUGCCAAUGGACCAAUAUCUUUGUCACAGCUUUUUUCUGGAGUUUAAGAUAUGCCUGCGUCCCAAGGUGGCUGACUCCUUCCAGAACACCCUGCUUUUCUUCUUCAUGGCUGUCAGGAGAACUGGGACCUCCUCCCAGCUCUACCUCUUGUCCUUGUGAACCUUAGUUUCCCCAUCUGUGAGUUCAGGCUGAAAACAGCUCAACGAUCCUUAAAGGGGCUGUGUUAAGAGCCAAAGGUGUGAGAAGCUGAAGAGCACUGGAGACUCUCUGACACUCCAAAAUGAAGUUAGAAAACUCAGAGAAUGAGGGCCAGAGCUUGGGGAAACAUCAAAGAGGAGAAGUAGAGAAGUGAAAAAGGAAAUCCCAGACCCUGGGAUUCUCAUCUCAAUCCCCAGAAAGAGUGAUGGCUGCCAGCUUCCUGCAGGAUGGCAGGUGCUUGAGGCAGAGUCAAGCAUAGAGACCAGGUAGCCUGAGAGAUAAAGACUUGGCUACUGGGCCUUCUACCCUGGACUUGGGUCAGGUUCCAACCAUGCUAAAGCCACACUAUGAUUUUUUAAUUUUUAAAUUUGUUUUAAUUAGUAAUACAUCACAGUAGAAUGCAUUUAUGCACUUUGAUAUAUCACACAUAGAUGGGAUUCAAAUUCUCAUUUUUCUCAGUGUACAUGUUGCAGAAUCAUAUUGGUCAUGUAGUCACAUAUACACAUACAGUAAUCAUGUCUGUUUCAUACUAUCUUUCCUGUCCCCUCACACUGUGAUUUUCAUCUCAGCGGUGACCCUCUAGGUGUCAGAGGCCUGGGCCCAGAGGCUGUGGGUGAAGUGGGCAGAUUCAUCCAGUCUUGUUCCAGACAAGGGAGGAAUAGGGCAGUCCUGCCAACCGUAACACCAAGGCCGUUAUCAGGCAUGCCUCAAAAUGGGUUAAUGAGUAGACAUUUUGGUGGUGACAUGUACUUAGCCUUAUUACUGGGAGCUAGUGCAUCAGAACCUGGGCUUUCUGGGUGACAGUCCAAGGUCAGGGUGCCCUGGGAGGCCCUGUUGAGGUCCUACAGAGUAUCUCCUGGGUGCCUGUGGGGGGUCUCAGGCAGACCCUGUGAUUCUGCCCUAGCAACUGUCACACUGAAUAUGAAUAAUACCAUGUGACCUCCCAGAGACAGAACAAGUAUCCUGGGAAUCGAGGGGAGGUCUUGGUUGGUUCAUGUGGAUCCUCAGUGCCUGGGGCUGGAAGCAGGUCAGGACUGAAUGAGCAAUUAAAUAAACAAGUAAAUGAACAAAUGCAAAGAAGUAGCCCAUCCCAAUUAUUAAUUAAUCCUGGUGAAAGACAGCUCAGGUAGUUUGCAAGCUGGGAGACUCAGCCUCCUGCAUUGUCCUGGGCCAGUCACUUCUGUUUCUUUGAUCUUGAUUUUGUCCUCUCUAAGAAAGGGCCAAAUAAGGUUGAAUCUCAAACUGUAGGACCCACAGGCCACAACAGGUCAUAAAGGAGUUUUGUUUGGCCCUCACUGAAUUUUAAACAUACAAAAUUUGAAUGUAUUUAGGCAGGGUAACCACACCACCCCGUCCAGUGGCCUGCAGUAGCACCUCUUGCUAGCCCUGGGUCCACUCUGCAUGUUUACAUGAGCAGCUUUGGCCCCCAAGGACAUUCGAAUCUGCUAACUCUGGCAUCAGAAACCUUCGGGGCUCUUUUAUUUGACAUACUGGAAUUCUAUGAAGAGGGUUAAUAAAUGGAAUAAAACAGGGGGUAGGGGAGAGCAGAGGGAGGGAAGAGAAAAGAAAAAAAAGGGCUGAGAAUAACAGGUGUGUUAGUUUUUGGUCUCUGAGCAAAAUGCCUGAUAAGAACAACUUAGAGGAGGAAAAGUUUAUUUUGGUUCAUGGUCUCAGAGGUUUCGGUCCAUGGUCAGCUGACUCCAUAGCUCUGGGCCUGAGGUGAGGCAGAAGAAUGUGGCAGAGGAAAUCUGCUCAGCUCCUACCAGCUGGGAAGCACAGAGAGUGUGCAAAAAGCCAGGGACGAGAUAUCAUACCCAAGGGUAUGCCACCAGUUGCACAGUUACCAGCCAGUAGUCCACCCCAAUUAUUAAUUAAUCCAUCAAAUGGGUUAAUCCACCUGUGAAGUUACAGCUCUCAUAAUCUAAUCAUUUCACCUCUGAUGAUUCCUGUACUGCCUAACAUAUCAGCUUUUUCGGGGGGGGGGGGUACUCAUAUCCAAAUCUGCAUAAGGACUCAACCUCCUUUGAGGGCCAGCAACCCCUUCCAAUCCGAGUCACUGUGGGGAGUGGCACAGCUUGCCUCUGGAGCUCCUCGUAGCUGCUAAAGGGAUCCAGGUAAUUUCACACCCCCAAGCCCAGGAGGGGCUCCAGGCUGAAAGCAGCAGGGCCCAGAGGUUCUGUGCCUCUGGCUGCAGUGCUGAAUUAUUAAUGUUCAUUUCAGUUAUCCUUCGGUUCAGCAGAAAUAUGACAAAGCAAUCUCAGAUAAUGAAAUCACCCACAAGUUCUGCUGUUCACAGCAGGUUUUCAGGGGGCAAAUUUUGCCCCCACCUUCACAGCGCUGAUUGAGUUAUGUGUUUAUGGGUGGGGGUGCAAUGCCCGUGUUAUUGAUCAGUGUGUAGUACAUAGAUUAGAGUGACCUGAGGACCUUUCUCUCAGCAGGUCAGUGACUGCUCUUGGCCAGCAAGUGGAAGAGGGACCUCUGCAGAACAAACAGCUGUCGUUUCUGAGGGGGUAUCUUGGGGAUGUCAGGAGGCCACGUAGCCCCACCCAGCCUGAAAAAUCUUCAUUUUUCUCCAUGCUUCUCUCAAUCUACCUGUCACUGAAUCUUCACCAUUUGAGUGGCAGCUAAGAGCUCAUCUAAGCUUUAUUAAUAAAGGGAAGGGACUUUCUGCUGUCUUUUCAACUCUUGCCUUCUCUCCUCUCUGCCAUCUCUCUGUUGACCACUUAAUGGUAAUUUUUUUUCAUUAUCUAAGCAAUUAGAAAACUAAAAUUAACAAUCAAUCACUUGGAAACUCCAGGAACCCAGAUCAGAUAUAACAGGCAUGCCAGAGGGCCAAAUCUGACACUCAAAGACAUAUUUUGCUUCUUUCAUAUCUGAACAGAUAAAGUGGAUUGGAGACACCCACUUUAGUUGCCUACAUUUAAAAAUUGGGAAUAUCACAUGAAGGUCCUGAGGGAUUGUCCUUCUGAAAUACCAGAACAUCUAGAUGUCCCAAGCCCACAGGGUAACAAUUGUCUGGUGAUGAAGUGUAAGUGUCAGUGUAAUUUAUGUUCAGUUCUUUGAACACUGGCACUCUAUGCAGGCUGACACAAAACCAGAAGUGGGUUAACUAGCAUAGGCCAGUUCCUGGUGCUACAAAGAAGGCAAAUGAUCUUGGAGGAUUCUACCAUAAAUAUAAUGAUCACAUAUUAUUUUUUCUUAAGGUAUUUGUCUUUAAUACUUUGGAAAUUUAAAAACUAGGUCACAGAUCUCCAAUUACUAUAAUCUUAUGCCUUUGUAGAAGAUUUAAAAAAAACCCACCCAAAGAAUAAAAAGUAUUUUCUAGCUACAGUAGAGUGACUAGACCAAUGUCAACCUGGGGUAUGUGGAGGGGGUGUAGGAUCAAGCUGGGAAUAGAUGUGGUGUGGAGCAGAUGAAUAUACUCAAACGAGCUUUUGUGGGCAGGUACUGUGGUGCCCCUGCACUAAUGAUGACACUGAGUAACACUGGAACUGUAGCUGUUGGGCCACCUAUGGGCUAAUCCUCGGAAGUUGUGCUUUGUGCCAUUCAUGUUGGAUUUGGGAAUGUUCUCCACUCUCCAUCACAUCCCUUAACAAACCCUGUUGACUUAGUCACGGGACUUUCUCUUCUUCAGAUGCCACUGGACCUCUAGGCUGGGGUGCCCCUGUGGAGCUGUUCUGAGUCCCAACACAUCUCCGCCUUGAGCCAGAGCUGAGUAGUUCCAUGGCCUCGAAGCCAGGCUUGUGCAUUACCAGUUCUGUCCUCACCUGUGGAAUGAGAAGAUAAAAUGACAAUUAAUACAUAAAUGUCAUCCUUUUAAAAAACUCGGGACAGAACUGGACAUGGUGGCUUUUGCUGUUAGUCCCAACUACUCAGAGGCUAGGAUAGGAGGAUGGUUUGAGCCCAAGAGUUUGGGACCAGCCUGGGUAACACAGUAAGACCAUGUUUAAAAGAAAAAAAAAAGAUAACUCAGUAUUGUGUCAUGGGCUCCCUGGCUUUUGUUGUUCUAAAAAUGCUUCAGCGAAGCAAUCAAACGUAUACAAAGAGGAGAAGAAAAGCCAACAGUCUGUCUGUCUGUCUGUCUGUCUCUCUCUCUUUCUCUCUCUCACAUACACACACACACACACAUACACACACAAAUUUGAGGGAUAAAUCACAACUCUACAGAAAGAAUCUCGCAGAGGUCAUCUUGUCCAGCCCCCUGCCUCUGGGCAGAAAAGUUCUGGCCUUACCUCGCUCCCCCGCCUCCUCUACCAGUGUCCAUGUGGUCAUAACAGGGGAAACGCAUCGUUCUGACAGCGCUGGCCUUUGUUUGCCUUUGGGCUGUGCGCCUCUGGCUGGCCCCUCAGAAGGCCCUCAUGUCCCUCUCCCCUCCCUGGCGCAUGGUUCUUUAUCAGCUUCUCAGAGCACCUCUGGCUUUUAUUUUCUCCCCACGAACAUUAUCUAUUUGUCCAAUCCAUCCCAAAAUAGCCAGGCCCAGCCAUCCCAUAAUACCCAGAUCCUGUGUCACUCAAAAUUGGGGCCCGGCAGGAGCUCCGCGCUCUCCUUCCUGUCCCUUUCUCUUCUUUAAUAAGCACACCUCGGGCUUCAGUCAAUGUCUCUCCUCCAGAUUCAUGAGUUUGCUGCUUCUGCAGCAGCCCCACAUCCUGACAGAUAAAUCUCCCCCAGAGCUGUCAGCACAGACAGGGGAACAGCACAGCCAGGUCCUCAGAGAGGCGACUGUGGAGACACCAGAUUUAUCACCCACCCUGUCCCCUAAGGUGUCACCUCCUUGACCUUCAGGAUGAAACAGAGGUCAGUGUAUUUUUUAAUGUUUUAUUCUGUGAGGGACCUAGAAACCAAAGGUGCUGCCUCCAAAAAUUCCCUCUCUCCCUUGUCCUUGGUGACAAAUGAAGAGCUUGGUCCCCUUUGUCCUCAGUGGCCCAUGAAGGUUCUGGUCUUGGAACGUGGGAGGUGAGGGGCACUGGCUCCCCGAGGAAGAAGCAACAGUGCUGCUGGCCUUGCUGAGGAUUCACUCCCUGCAGGGAAACACACUGAUUUCUGGCCUGCCCUCCAGGGUCAUUUGGGGUUAAUUUUAUCUGCUUCCGUGUCCCUGGAUGGGCCACACAUUUUUCCUCCUUAGCCAUGUCCAAGGCUCUCGUCUGGAGCAGCCUCAGCACCUUCCCAAGCGAAAUUGAGACAUGUGCUUAUGACAGCGUGUCUCCAUGAAGACAGAUCGCUCUCCCUCCAAGGUCAAAGCUCCCGCUGGCCUGGCUCUUUGGCAAACGAUUCGUCAAACAGGGCAGCGGGCAGCAGCCGGCUCUCAGGCCCCUGGCCGGUCGACUUGUCAAAAUCUUUCAGAGGAUUAUUGUGCCCUGUAGAAUUUUCCUCCUUCUAUUGUCUGUCGGUGCCUCCCCUGCCAUCCCCCCCACCCCGAAACAGAGGGAGGAGUUGGCACGAUAUCAAAAAUGAUGACAGGGACCCAGAAGGCAAAACAAAUCUUCCGCAGAAAUUGGGAAAUUUCUCAGUCAUUUUACGAGGCAAGAGUCGUGGUCCCUUGUGAGGUUGGAAAAAAACAGAACAGUAAAGAUGUUGCCUACUGGGCCUGUCCAUGAACUCGUUUGUCUCACACACUAACGAGGAGGGUCUGGGCCUUGUCCUCUGCCAGCCUGGAGCACAGUGGCUGGCACACAGCGGGGACUCCUUUAUUUGGGUGCUUUUUGCAUAUUCAUUAAGCUCCGACUCCAACUGUUGGUCUGGCCUCCCAUCCCUGCCCUCAUGGAGCAUCCUGUCUUGAAGACGGUGUCAGUCUUUAAAGUAGUGAGGAAACAAUGAACCCAGGGAAGUGUUACAAAGGUUAUUCUGAUGGACAGCCUCCAACUGGGCACUCAAGAAUUCUGCUUCUCUUCAGUCAGAUCCUUCUGGAAUGUUCUCUUCUUCAGUGUGGGCUGGGCUGGAGGUACUGAGUCACCUCUAAAGAAAAGAACAUGAAAAAAGUGAUGGAUUGCUACUUCCAAGAUGAGAAAAGUGACUUUUUUUUUUUUUUUGCUUGUUACCAACCUCUGUCUCAGACCUCACUCUGUGGAAGCAGCUGCUAUGUGUGCCUAGGCCCAAAGGAGACCCAUGUGGCAAGUGGCACCUGGGAGGAACUGAGGCCCGUCAAUGGUCUUGAGAGCUUGCAGUGGAUAUGCCCCAUUUGAACUUUGAGAUGACCACAGCUUCGGUCAACAUUUGGUUCCAGCCUGUGAAAGACACUGAGGAGAAGACCCAGGUAAGCCGAGCUAGGAUCCUUGACCCCAUAGAAACUUGAAGAUCGUGAAACGUUUGUUGAUAAGCUACUUAAUUUGGGGAUAAUGUCUUUACACAGGAAUAGAGUAACAGUGUAGGUAUCCAGUGGAGUUUUCUGAUAAAGAUUUACCACUAAUUAAGUGGGUUGGCCGGGAGAGGACUCACUGAAGGUAUAAUGUUAAAGGAGUAGAUUGGAGGUAAGUUGGACCAGUCAUCCCCAAAGCCAAUCCCAAUAGCAUUCUAGGCAAAAGGAACAACAUGUGACUUGAGUCAACUUUUCAUCACUGUGACCAGAAGAACCAACAACAGCAACUUAGAGGAGGGGAAGUUGAUUUUGGCUCAUGGUUUCCGAGGUUCAGUCCAUGCUUGGCUGACUCCACAGCUCUGGCCCAAGAUGAGGCAGAAUAUCAUGGUGGGAGGACAAGGCAGAGGAAAAUGGCUCAGGACAUGGCGACCAGGAAACAGAGAAUUCCGCUCACCAGAAAUCUGACAAAAUAUAAACCCCAAAGACACACUCCCAGUGACCUACUUCCUCUAGCCACACCCUACCUGCCUACAGGUAGUGCCAAAUUAAUUCAUAUUAGUGGAUUCAUCCACAGAUUAGGUUAGGCCUCUCAUAAUCUAAAUCAUCUCUCCUCUGAGCAUUCUUGCAUUCUUUCACAUGAGUUCUUUGGGGACACAUCAUAUCUAAACCAUAACAAUGCCCAAAGACUCUUAGGCAAGAAAGAAGUUGGAGUAUAUUUUAAGAGUUAUGGCUGGAGUGUGGUACCUGGAUGCUAUGCCAGCCCUUUUAUUUUCACAGUCUUUAUUUCCCAACUCAGCUUUGAAAAGUGGACAUUAUUACCCUAUAAUGUUGCUGGGAAGACUGAGGCAGAGAGACUUCGGUCACUAGCCUGAGGUCACACAGCUAGAAAGGGAUAGGGAUUGAAUUCAAGUGUAGGUGUUUCUGGAUCUAAAACCUGCCUGAUUAUUGUACUUCUUAAUACACAUGAUUUUAUUCAAACAUUUAGCAGCCCCUGCCUCCUUCUAUGUUUUCAAUGCACAUGGGUCCUAUUCUGAAGUACUUGCUAUCUGCAGAGAGAGAGAGAGAGAGGCUGACUGUCAACAUUUUUUUUUCAAUACUAGGAUUGAACCCAGGGUAUUCUACCACUGAGCCACAUCCGCACCCUUAAUUUUUUUUUUUUAAUUUUGAGAUAUGAUCUCACUAAAUUGCUGAGGCUGGUCUCAAGUGUGUGAUCCUCCUGCCUCAAACUCCCAGGGUACUGGAAUUAUAGGUGUGAGCCACCACGCCCACUCAGUCAACAUUUUCAAAGGGGUUUAUUCAUUCAGUCCCCAUAAAACUCUUACAAAGCAGCUGGGGGGAAGAUAUCACUAUGUUUUUGUUAGACGCUUUUGUCACUAUGACCAAAACACCCAAUGAGAGCAAUUUGGGGGGGGGGUUUAUUUGGGGCUUACAGUUCCAGAGAUCUCAGAUGGCCAGUUCCAUUGUACUGGGCCCAAGGUGGAGGAAGGGCUUCUCAAAGGAAAGUGGCUUAGCUCAUGGUGGGGUCAGGAAGCAGAGAGAGAGAGAGAGAGAAGGGGAAUGGGGCUACAGGGAAGAUGCACCCCUCCAGGGCAUGCUCCCAGUAUUUCCUCCGGCCACAACUCCCCUUCCUACUGUUACCACCCAACCAACCAAACUAGGAUGGGUUGAUUAGGCUAAAAUUUAUAAUGCAAUUAUUUUACUUUUGAAUAUUCCUGCAUCAAUACAGGAGCUUUGGUUGGAUAUGUCACGUCCAAACUAUAACACAUUGCACCCAUUUAUUGUGGCCAUUUCAAGAUUUGGAAAGUGAAGUUCAGAAAAGAUAAAUAACCAGCAUAAUGGACUAUUUUAGUAAGGAACAAAAUGAGAUCCUGUCUCCAGGACCUCUGAUCUUCCUACCCUUUCUUCUAACCCAAGUGACCCCAGGGUCCUAAUAUUCAUAGAAUGUCUCUAGGAGAGAUGGAGAAUCCUCUCUAAAGUCCAGAGUAUUCCCUUUGGAACCCAGCUCUUGAAUCACAUUGGAUUUUUAUGGAUCACUGUUGCUUAAAUUGGGGCACAUGUGUGUAUGGCAAUUCUUGUAAAACAGCUGAAUAUGGAGUAAUUAUUUAUGAUACAUGAAAGUCUUUAAAUUUACAGAUUUACCAUUGGCUUUUCUUUAAAAACUAGACUUUCUGAUCUAUUACUCUUAAGAACUUGAGGAAUGACCAAAAUUUUCAGUGCUGUUUAUAUUUCUCAAAACGAGCAAUUUACCUUACAUGACGUAAGUCCUACUACCCUUUUAGUCUUCAUUUACACAUGACUUCCUUAGAAAGGCAUCUGAUUUUUGGACUCAAAUUGGGUUUCCCCUGUUGUGCUUUCACACAUCACCCCAUGAAUCUCCUUCUCAGCUCCCGCCACGACAGGUAAAGAUGUGUUCACUCAGGUGUCCAUUAAUUCAAAGUCUGUCUCCCACACUGAGCUCUAAGCCUUAUGGGCAGAGCAGGUCUGAUUGGAGUUUACUGGUGAAUCUCGACUAGCACAGUUCAGGGACCAAGGACACAUCCUUCUUGCCCUUCAAAGUUUUCAUAGUCGAGUCUGCUAAUCAAACUGACAAUAGAUUAACAGGAGAAAAAGGCAUACAAAUUUGUUUAUGUGAAAGCACGUGGGAGUCACACAAAGUAUGAAACUCAGAAGGGCCAGAUGGUGGAAGCUUAAGGAACAUUCUGAGCCACAGGAAGAAAUAGGGGAUUGGAGUUUCUUGGGGGGAGGUGGUGACAGAAAUGAAUAGGGGCAUGGGGUCCACAGUGGAAGAUACGGGGCAUGGGGUCCACAGUGGAAGAUACAGACCAUGGGAGGGUGAAGGGAGAAAAUGUGUGACAGAAGCUGUCUUGCCAUGCAAAUACGGUCUCUUAGGUAAUAGCCCCAGAAGAUUAGCUGGCUGCUGUGAGUUCCAUGAGGGUACCGGGGAGGGGAUGCAAAACAUUGCUUUUCUUCUGGAGGAACUCCCUUGGUGAGAUAAAGGAACUUCAGAGAAGGUUCUUCCCGGUGCUUCUCUUAGGGAGGCAAAGAGGAUGACGAGAUGGGUGUGGGGAUGAAGGAUGGUCAGAGAGAUUCUGAGUCUGCUUCUUUAGUUCAAGGCAUGCCAAAUGCCCUACUUUGGGCUAUUAUUUUCUGAGUGCCCUCAACAGUGUUUGGGACAUGGUAAGGAUCCAGUGAAUUUUCUGUUGAAUUAAACAAUGUAAUUUGAUGGUUUGGGGUGUAUACUUCAGUGGUAAAGUAGUUUCCUAUCAUGCACUAGACCCUCGGUUCAAUCUGUAGCAUAAGGGUCGUGGUAGGAGAUAGAAAUGAUGGAAUCAGACCUAACAAAAACAAUCACAUUGCUGAAAUAUGGGCACCUGGAAGAUGGAAGGAAUAUAUUUGGGGUAGAAGUGACAUUGUCCUGGAGCAACGUGAAUAUAACAACCACCACAGUAAUAACUGUGGUUCAUAUUUAUUGAGUACUUACUAUGUUUCUGUAAGCAUUUUAAUGGAAUGCUUCAGACAUUUAUAUGUCCUUCUCGCAAGGGACCAUGCCAAACUCCUCUGUAGGCACUGAGUUCCAACUCGUGACUUAGAGACGGUUACUUUGCACAUAGGUAGCCUCACGUGUGAGUGACAAGUUGACCAACUUGUCCUGGUUUGCCUGAGAGCGUCUAGUUUUAAAACUGAAAAUCCAGGCUUCUAGGAACUGUCCCUCAGGCUCAGUCAGAUAGAAUGGUUAGCCCUCUCAGCAAGCCAAAGUACUCAGUGGACUGCGGCCAAAAGAAAAGGAUUUAUAAGAGAGAAGGGAGAGAGGAUAAAUGGGGAAAAAACAGCAGAGAAUCUGGGAGCAGUGAAUCUUGUUGGCAUUUGGCAGGGGUGUGCGUGUGUCAGAUAAACUGAUUAGCUAGCACCUAGAAAAGAGGCCAGGUUGUGCAUUCUGUCCUUGAGCAGAACAGAGGGGAUAUUAAAGAAGACUAUUUAAUUGUUUAUGGUUUCUCCAGAAAACCUUGGGUUUGGCCGUGCAGCGUGUGUGGCGGGCUGCUCCGUGCUACGUUGCCUGCCUCAGAUGGAACUUCCUUGAGGAUGCUCUCCCUGCUCGCCCAUGGUGUUGGCAGAAGAGGGUCGCCUCGUUCUUAAUGAAGAUUCCAAGUACAAGCUCUUGGCUACAGGAACCCUGGUGCUGCAGACAAAGAAGGGUGAAAACUAACUUCUCAAUGACUCAAAAACACAUCUGGGCCCUUAAGGAUGAGGGAAAUUCCUGGAUGUAAUAAAACAUCCUCUCAUUCUUGUGUGCACCCCCCGCCCGCCCAUGCCUGUACCACCCAACUCUCACCUUUUGGAAGAAUGCCUUGUAUAGAGGGGGAGGUGGGAGCAGGAGAGCUGAGUUCUUCAUUCUUGGCGUCAACCACUCAAAUCCAUUCCCUUCAUUUUAAUUGACAAAUUAAAAUUGUAUAUAUUUAUGGAGUAAAAAGUGGUAUUAUGGUUUCUGAAUACAGUGUGGGCUGAUUAAAUCAAGCUAAUUAACGUUUCCUCAAAAUUUCAACAUAUUUU